GAUGAGGGGUGCGAGAGGAUCCCUGCUGUCUGCUGGAGGAGUGGCCAUCACAGAGCACUUGACUUCCAUCCAUCUGCCUCCACAUCAGAAAUCCUCCUGACUUCUCAUCCUACUGAAAUUUGCAAACAUCAGUGUCUUCUGUGUGACCCCCUGUCCUCUCUAAGUCUGGUGGUAGUCUCUGGAGCUGCAGAAGGAGAGAAAAGAUCUUGAUGCCUCUUUUCUUUAUGGAGGCAAUACAGCGCACUGUGGAAACUGUGGUGGCUGGAGAUGUAAGACCAUGUCAUGACAGCAAAUGGGAUGCAGUCCUGAAGGUGUGACAGUAAGCAACAUUGUUGUGACUGCUACAGGACAGAGUUUAGAGCUGUAUGAAAUGAGCCAGUCCUUUACCGUCGCCGCAUUCAGGUCGCUGUGUUUUUGGACACAAGGGCUGACCCAUAGGUUGAAUGGAGCCAGGUAGCUCUGCCGAAGCCAGGCGAUUGCUGCUGAUCAAAACUAGCCAGCAUUUUGUUCUGUUCUUCUACUUUUUAUGGGGAAAAUUUGUUUAUGGCUCUAUAUUAGCCAAAAAAAG
Molecule: long non-coding RNA, 568 nt
Filed under: Gallus gallus (chicken)
Lineage: Eukaryota; Metazoa; Chordata; Aves; Galliformes; Phasianidae
Description: lncRNA (ENSGALG00010019784.1)
Source: RNAcentral